GCCGGAAUAGCUCAAUUGGGAGAGCGUUAGACUGAAGUUGUUUACGCACAAUCAUCUAAAGGACCCCGGUUCAAUCCCGGGUUCCGGCA
RNAcentral lists this transfer RNA (89 nucleotides) under Dreissena polymorpha. It matches the Rfam family "tRNA". Rfam says of the family: Transfer RNA (tRNA) molecules are approximately 80 nucleotides in length. Their secondary structure includes four short double-helical elements and three loops (D, anti-codon, and T loops). The record is from Rfam by way of RNAcentral. Lineage: Eukaryota; Metazoa; Mollusca; Bivalvia; Myida; Dreissenidae.